AUGAAAGAGACUGACAAUACCAAAUACUGUCAACAACGAGGAACUGGAACCGACAUACUACUGCUGAGAAGUAGAACAAAUUGCUGCAUAUUCAUGCAAUGUAACAUUAUACAACAAUAGAAAUGAAUGAAAUACAAAUACUUGCAACGAUAUGCAUGAAACUUUCACAAACAUGAUGUUGAACAAAAGAAAAAAAGAGAAGUAGAAUAAGGAAGAAAGGUUAACAGAUAAGGGAGUGAAUGAAGAAGUGACUGAAAGGGGGAAUGAAU
RNAcentral lists this long non-coding RNA (269 nucleotides) under Homo sapiens (human). Its description in RNAcentral is "HSALNT0188140". Lineage: Eukaryota; Metazoa; Chordata; Mammalia; Primates; Hominidae. The record is from RNAcentral.